CCGGCAGCUAACGCAUUAAGCACUCCGCCUGGGGAGGACGACCGCAAGGUUGAAACUCAAAGGAAUUGCCGGGGGCCCGCACAAGCGGUGGAGCAUGUGGUUAAAUUCGAAGCAACGCGAAGAACCUUACCAGGUCUUGACAUCCUUUGACCACUCUAGAGAUAGAGCUUCCCCGUCGGGGGCAAAGUGACAGGUGGUGCAUGGUUGUCGUCCGCUCGUGUCGUGAGAUGUUGGGUUAAGUCCCGCAACGCGC
Molecule: ribosomal RNA, 253 nt
Filed under: Enterococcus faecium
Lineage: Bacteria; Bacillati; Bacillota; Bacilli; Lactobacillales; Enterococcaceae
Description: partial 16S ribosomal RNA
Rfam family: Bacterial small subunit ribosomal RNA
Source: RNAcentral